AGCGAACGCUGGCGGCAGGCUUAACACAUGCAAGUCGAGCGGGCAUCCUUGUGGUGUCAGCGGCAGACGGGUGAGUAACGCGUGGGAACGUGCCCUUCGGUUCGGAAUAACUCAGGGAAACUUGAGCUAAUACCGGAUACGUGCGAGAGCAGAAAGGUUUAUCUGCCGAAGGAUCGGCCCGCGUCUGAUUAGCUAGUUGGUGAGGUUAUGGCCCACCAAGGCGACGAUCAGUAGCUGGUCUGAGAGGAUGAUCAGCCACACUGGGACUGAGACACGGCCCAGACUCCUACGGGAGGCAGCAGUGGGGAAUAUUGGACAAUGGGGGCAACCCUGAUCCAGCCAUGCCGCGUGAGUGAUGACGGCCUUAGGGUUGUAAAGCUCUUUUCUCCGGGACGAUAAUGACGGUACCGGAGGAAUAAGCCCCGGCUAACUUCGUG
RNAcentral lists this ribosomal RNA (437 nucleotides) under uncultured bacterium. RNAcentral's name for it is "partial 16S ribosomal RNA". It matches the Rfam family "Bacterial small subunit ribosomal RNA", at positions 29 to 507 of the family's 1533-position model. The record is from RNAcentral.